The submitters of this non-coding RNA (87 nucleotides) gave its source as unclassified sequences. The record is from Rfam.
CGCUAUGGUGGCUGUGCGCGGGAUACCUUCGGGUAUGCCGGUUUCCUUAAUCUCCGGUCCGCGAACCUGCGCACAGCUGCCACCCUC